RNAcentral lists this long non-coding RNA (14428 nucleotides) under Musa acuminata (dwarf banana). RNAcentral's name for it is "long non-coding RNA (MACU_LNC001012)". Lineage: Eukaryota; Viridiplantae; Streptophyta; Magnoliopsida; Zingiberales; Musaceae. The record is from RNAcentral.
AUGAAUGGCAAGGCGGAUGUCCAACCCAAAUCCCCCUUCCGCCUCCACCGGCCUAACGCAAACGGAUGCCUCCGUCGCUGUUGCCGCUCCUUCCGCUCCAUCGGGUCCAAUCACCCAGACGACGCGCUCAGCUUAGUGAGUCCAUCAGACAAAAGGAGAUGGCAAUCAAUCAGGCUGCGGGGCGGUUCCGAACCAUGAUAGACGGCUACAAGCACCGGUUCCUAAGCUUACCGCACGCGCGUCUGGUGUCAAAAGGCCCCAAAAAAAAAAAAAAAAAAUUUGUUUUGUCAAAAGCUUCAGUUUCUGUACUCUUAUACUUACCUCUGGUGAGCGUAUUCAAGAAAUCGAACCGGCCAAUCUCGUGAGUGGGCUUCUACUUAGGUGUGAUCGAACAGGCCGGACCGGCUUGAGUUGGGCCGACUUGGCCCAUAUUCUCUUACCCGUAAAGCGAGACAUCAACACCGUCCCUUGGCUUACUGCAGACACCAUCGAGGUGAGCGUAUUAUUUCAGAUGUCAAAUCCGAGGGGUUGGGUCUCUGUUCUUAGUCUUACUAGAGAUGGCCGGAUUCAGAUGUCACCAUUAUCUGCCCACCACCGAUCUGCUCGUGUCACCAAAGAAGAUUAGGAGGUAGUCGAAGGAGAGGUAGUAUAUCGCUCGCGCUGCUUCCGCCUGAAAUGUGAGAAAAAGGAUUGCGCAAGAGGCGGCUGGAGGAGAGGAGGAGAUGGUGGUGGUCUUCCUAUUCGUUUUCGGGGAUUCGGAUAGGACAGUAUAAGAGGCAAUCUCCCAAAUAGAUGGAUUCCACUUGGAAGGCACACUUGUGUCGAGUCAGGAGAAAGCUACCGGCCUCGACGACGGUUAGUAGAUUUGUGAUAGAAAAAUACAAGGUAAAUCCAGUGGGUUCCUUGUUUCUCCAUGACAAUCUUGGGUAGAAAAAUCUAGUGGUUCCUUAUUUCUCUCAGUCAAGACAGCCUCGGAAAACCCAGUAUUCGCAGGCAUCAAAUGUUAAACGACAAUUGAUGAUCGGAAAAAAAAAAAAAGUGGCCUUGUACACCGACGACGCCAAUAAUGGCACACGAGAAAAACAGGCUCUGACGAUCUUAACCAGCAGCAGCAGAUUCAUGUACUAUAUAUAAAUGAGCUACUCACAAUUGUCUGAGGGAGUAACAUUGCAUAGGAAGGGAAGUGGUAUAAAAGGAGUGCUUUGAGCCACCACCCAUUGAUACGAUUAAAGUGGAACGCGUGAUUGCAAACACCUAAGCAGAUGAGCAUAGAGUCAACAGAAAGAAUUGCACAGAAGACGGAGGCAGCGAAGCAUUUGAUGUUUGGAACAUAUACAAAGAAUGUAUGACUCACUGGCUGGCUCAAUGGACCCCUACUGCCAAAUCACAAAUAGAAAGCAACUGUUCAAACAUCUUAGAUAAAAAAAAAGAAAUAUAGAGAGAAAACAACUUUUACCAACUUUGAAACCAAACCAGAAUCGAAUGUGUUGGCUAGGUUAAGCCUUGACAGUUGUUCGUAAGGUCCUCGAAUCGAAUCCCGUCUUCACCUAUAUUACCAUUUGCAGAUUAAAAAAAAAAGAAAACAAUCAGAUUGUAUUAUGGAUGUAAUUUCAGUGGCAGCAUCAUACAUUGUGGCUGAUAAUUUCACUCGCAUGGCUCAGCUUCAACUAAAGCACAAAAAAUGACAGACAAAAUUAGACCAAUAAACAUUUACAAGUAAGUCUCUAUCACAAUGAUCUAAUGAAGCUUUUCCAAAUCCAUUUCUUAUAUAUCUCGAUCCGACAGGCAAAGGAACUGAAUGUACAAGCAACCAUGCUACCAUACCAAUGUAUAACCAAUUUUUAAUCAUUUAAUGCCGAAGUUUUUGUAUGCUUUUAGUUCAUAGUGUCGUUAUCUAUGUUUGAUAGAAUUCUAAUGCUGCCAAGAGAUUCAGUUGAUGCAAGAACAAAUAAAAUCGAUACAUCACAGAUUCAGUUGAGUUAAAACCCCAGUGAACUCAAACUCACUCGGCAGGCAGGACAUUGAUGGGUAACUAACUAACUAACUAACUAACUAACUAGGCAUCGAGAGUUUGGUCCAAAAUGAAUUCAAUGUUUCUAAAAUAGCGUUGGUCUCGGAGGCUCGAUCAGAAUUCUAAAUUAUGCUGGUUAAACUGUGGGACGAAUUGAUGUCUGAACCAAUAUUUGUGAGCAAACGAAUUCGAUCGAAACAGGAAACCUAUAAUAACACUAAUUUUCGGCAACAAAAUAGAAUGUUACGAUAUUGAGAUAAAUGACACUCUCGAGAAACAUACUAAUUUGCGGCAUACAAAAUUUUCAUGAAAGUUAAAACCAUAUAGGAGGAUCGUUCAAGACAAGAAAGCCGAAAAGAACUCGCAUCGCGCGAGUAACAAAACGUGAGGCAUACGCACUCGCGUGUAUAGGCUGGCGCUCAACGCCUGCUGCAAGGAGAUUUCAGAACCAAGAACAACCAGAUCUGAAAGUCCAACCAUAUACAUAAACCUAAAGAAUCACCAAAACAUGCGACCAAGACGGAGCAAAUCAAGAAAAUAUACAAGGGGAAAGGCAGGUCACAGAGGACCAGGAUGUGAUUCCCACAAUUAUCCACCACGACAUCAUAUCGGUCAAUCAAUUGGAAAGAUCCACGGAUAAAGAAUCAAGACCCCAAGUGAAACAAUCCAAUACAAAGUGCAAAGCGCCAUCGGCGAUCGGACACAUACCCCAGGCCCAGAGGGCGAUAGCAUUCCACUUGUUGAUCCCAAACGUGUUCCGCUUCUUCGAUAAGGACGACUACCCGGCGGCGCCACUGGACCGUUCGCGGGCCGGAACCAUGUUGAUGUCGGUGCGGAGGGAAGCCAUGGAUGGAAGCGAGGAGGAGGGUUUGGUGAUGCCGAGGAGGGGCACCGCAUGAUCGCCGAGCUUCUAAAUCAUUAUGAUAUGAAUAAUAAUAAUAUUAUUAUUAUUAAAGGGUUGUCAUGUGUUUGGGUCGUUUCACGUGAGUGAGAUGGACAUCGUACUUUGCCCAACAAAAAUUAUUUGAUGGCGCACCGUACCGUACCGCACCGGCAAAGCAAAGUGUGGCUUACGUCCCAAGUGCCGUGAGAGCCGACUGGGCGUGCUACAACAAAAAUUAUUCCGUUUUUAAUUUCUAUAAUUCAGAAAGCGAUGAAGAAUAUAGUAGUUUAUGUGACGACCCCACCACCAAAUCGUUCGACGGCCAAUUAAAUUCCACGUCAAGCCCCCCCCCAAAACACACAAUAACACAAUAAUAAUACCAUCUACCACCUGCGGAGAUCCGGUUAAGCAUUGAUCCCUCCGAGCCGAACCUUGAAAUCAAAUCCACGUCGAAAAAAAGUACAAGACAGUGCGCUUGGCUUCGAAGCAAGAAGACAAGUGAAGAGAGCUUCCAUGGAUGUGGUGUGGUGUGGUGUGGUAUGAUGUGAGUAUAGUGUAUGAUACAAAAGUUGAGGUCUUCUUCCAUCACGCGCUUGGCUUGUUGGCUUGGAUCGACGAAGCAGGAUGAGUUGCUGCUCCCUUGGAAACUCCACCCGCUGCAUUCUUGGUGGCGACGCUGGAUUUCGACGCUCCGUCGCAAGCGGGUUGUGCAUCUCGGUUGGCUACCUUGGAAGCAGGUUUCAGGGUGGGAAUGUCGAACUCGAGUCCGUCUUCUAUGUCAUUAUCUUUGACAGCACGGGGAUGAUGCCUGCGCCGGGAUCCAGACUUUGGCUCCGACAUCAGUCGAGCGCAUAGCCGUCCGGCGACGCAUGCGAUGAUGGCCAGCACAGCAAUCACUCCGAGUACGAUGAAGACGGGGCCGAACGAGCCCUUGGAGUCCGAGGAUGAAAUCGGCGUCGACUGGGGAAGCGACGACAUGUUUUCCCUGUGUUGUGUCCGGGGUGAAGAGGAGCAACCUGCCUGCUACGGAGAAAGGGGAGUCGAGUCUCGUGGGUGGCGAUGGCUGUGAAUGUGGCCAACUUAUGGAUGAUGGAAAGCAGGUGGAAGGGGCUUUGUUUGUUCAAGAGCCAUGAUAUUCUCGAACUCUUUUCUCCAGCUUUCCAGCUUUUGAAUGCUCGGAAGGAGAGAAAGCUGGGGGAAUAUAUGGGGAGGCUUUGGAGCUGGCCAGCAACCGUAGGGGAUUUAAAGCUUUAAGAGUUUGAGAUGUUGGAUCAAAAGAAGGGGACGAGAUCAUUGUUCUGUCCCUUUUAGCAGACGACGGUGGGAGUGGGGGCUAAACCCCAGAUUCCAGAUGGCUUGUCGGACUAACAAAUGCCAGCCUACAACCAACGAUACGCUAGCUUAUUACUAGUUACUUUAGGAUUAAGCUUGACGGAGAAGCUGCUCGUACGAAAAAGAGUCGUAUAACAUCUUUUGAGGGAGGGGGGGACUCACGAUCGCGGAGAGCAUCAUGUCUGCGUGCUCUUCUUUGACUGGGCCACGAUCGACAGUUUUGGUUUUUGCUUUGAAGAACCCAACCUGCAAAAGAAAAGCUCAAGAAACACGGAGGAGGAGCAGAGCUGAGCUGCACCAUGAAAGAACGAGCCAGCCCUGAUCCCAUCCUUCACGUCAGUUCAGUCGUGUAAACUCCUUGAAGAAUUGACCCUUGGGAUGUCUGGCAGGCAUGGUGAAGGGUUACGCCAGCAAGCUGCAACAUCAGCUAAAAUGAUAUCAAUACCGGGUUCUUCAAAGGAGACUAAAAUGGAAGGGAACCGAUCUAAUAGAUCGAAUAGGUGAUCGGCAUUCAAUGAUUCAUAACCACAAAACCUCUUCGAAAGCCAGUUCGAUCGAUUCAUCUGAAAACUCAGCGAAGCCUCAACACCGAGGCUUCUCCUUUUCCUUGAACAGUGCCAACAGGGACACACCACAAACCUUCACCACCUUGAACCGUACUCCGGGGAUGUCACCGUCUGCAUGGCCUUUCCGUCCAAAUCCAGCAAUCAAGACCUCGUCCUGUGAAAACAAUGCAAACGGAGGACAUACUCGUGAGAAGCAGAUGGUACUGACGAGCAAGGACAUUAGAACUUGCGGGCACUCAGAAAUAUGCUCAGAGCGGAUCCUGAGAGAGAUGUCAUGCAAUGCUGAGAAUGAACAUUUACAACCUCAGCGAUGUGUGCCUGGUUGGAACGCAUACCGGUGUCGACUGGUGCAUACAGGUGUGAGCAAGACCACCACAGUAAUGUCUCCUAACAUCAAAUCUUUGAUAACAAGUCCACUAGAUCAGUCUUUGGAGACAUCAAUCGCACAUGAAAUUUCUAGGCAAACCAAACCCCAACUUACGUUUUCUUCUAUGAAAUUUAAGCAGCCAUCAUUUGGAACAAAGGCUGUAAUUUUCUUCCCAUUCUUUAUCAGCUGAACUCUAGCACACUUUUGGAUAGCAGAAUUCGGCUGCUUAGCUUCUAUGCCUCUGCGAGAGGAAAUCAAUCUAAUGUCAGUCCCCCAAACAUAAGCAACAUCGAACAGUAUUAAAAAUCAGAAAGAAUAACAAGUAACAUCAUUUGGCUUACAUCUUCUCUAGGACAAUAGGACAAUACCAUUGGCACGCGAAGAACCAGCAAAGGGUUUUUUUCCACUCAUUGCCAAGAUGACUUUUCUCGUAUGCUUUAUCUGCCCAUCUUUGCCUCCUCCUGUGGGUUUUGAGCUUGCGCCCAGAUCCCAUACCACGAGUCUUCCUGUGAUAGAACUUAAGAAUGUUCAAAGAUCAUCAUCUAUCUUCACUCAAACAAAUUCCCUUGCUGGUCACUUCAUUUUUUGGGGUGACUUCAAAUUCCACUUCUUAUUAUGCACAUCGAAAUCUAACAUCAACCAUUCAAAAUUUUGCUAGAGCCGUGCAUCAUUUUCCUUUCAGUAGGCCACUAUAUGUGCUAACGAGAAUCUCAAUUAAUUUUAAUUAUAGUCAUAGACAAGCACAUUUUCUCCUUGCCACAGAAUAAGACUGAAUGAACAACAUCACUGUCCUUUGUUCUGAAGCAAUCAACCAAUGAGAAAAAUAAGUUCAGGAUCUCUUUCGUGUUAGGCGGUUCCAAGUAGACAAGUAGUAAAGUACCGACAAGAACCCAUGAGGACCAAAUAAAAUUAAAAGUCUGCAGUCGAUACAAUCAAAAGAACCUAAACAAGGCAGUCAUCAUUCUACACGCUACUUACGGUAUUGAAAAUGUGAGUGGUAUUAUUGCCUUCCAUGUGAACUUGUUCACAAUGAUACAAGUCAGGCAGGCAACAAAAUACAACCUUAGCUACAACAGACUCAAGGUCCUUUUGUCACUCACUCACUCACUCAUCAUCAUACACAUGACGUGAUAACUCCAGGAUAGCGAGCAAUAUAAAGGAGUUACAAAUUCCAACUCCGAAUUCCUCAAAAUUCUGAUGUUUCUUCUACUCGGGCAAAGAAGAUUUGUCAUUUUAGUGCACGGGAAAAACCUAACUUUCAACAAUAUCAUUGUUAGAACCGGUAUUCAUCGAUCAUAACUGCAUCCAAUUCUAUUAAAAUCACAAAAAUCGGAAUCCCAAUCAUCAAACUCGUUUCUUUUCUUCUCCGAUUCUCCUAAAAACCUAAAGCAACUAAAGCACCAUAUCGAAGUAAGCAAAACAUAAUUCACCCCUCAAAAAAACAAGAUUGGGAACCCAACCCAACGAACACAAAGAACAUACAAGGGAAAAGGCAGGUGAAUCAAGAAGGAUCCGAUCGAGUUCCCGGCAGAACACAAUCCAAACACCAGACAAGCAUUUCAAACGUUGCAUUCCGAAUUGAUGAGGCAAUCGAGAACAAAAUUAGUAUCGUUGCCGCGAAAACUCACCCCGUAUCGUCGGACGCCGAAGCUCGCUUUCCUCUCCGGGAGAUGCGGAGGAUCCGAAAGCGCGGGUGCGGUGGAAGCCCCAGCCGCUCCAUUUUAUAAACGAUCCAAGUAGGGUAGACUGGGCGUACCCAUGGGCCACGCGAGAACCCAUGGCCCGAACCAGAAAUAUCCGGCCUUGAUUACAUUAAUAUGUCCAUUCGAAUUAGACUCGAUCUUCGUCUCGGUUCCCGCAUGGUCAACGCUUAUCAAGCCUAGUCCGGUUUGGCUCCGUGCGUGGCGUCAGUCAUCUUCCACUAAAUUGAAUUAAGGUAUAAAAAUUUUCCACUCAGAAAAAAUCUUUUUUUUUUUUUAAAUACGAAAAAUCAUUUUGCUCAUGACCUCCUGUCGGACCCGCCUCCACCUCACAUCACCGCCUUGCGCGGCCCCUGUGCCAUCCUGCACUGCCCCUCACGCGUUGAGACGGUGAUACGUCCGACGAGGGCCAGGCGCUAGUAGCGGAACCCUGCGUGAGGGUUGCGGGUGAGGCGCGUAGGGGUGGGGCCAGUGGGGUCAACGGAGGUGACGACGGCCCUCCUGCGCGGGCUAUCGGCGAAGGCGGGUCCGGCAGAAAAAUAAUAAUAAUAAUAAUAAUAAUAAUAAUAAUUUUUCAAAUUUGCUAAGAGCACUUGAUGAGACUUGGUGAGUCGCCGCUCGUCUCCUUUCCAAGCGUGGGGCAGAGAGAUAAAGAGUUAGGAGUUGAGGCUUGUGUGAUGGUUGUUCUCGGAGCAAGAUAUCAUUUAUUAAUGUUUCGUCAAAUAACUAUUGAUUGACUUGUUCGAGAAAUAUUUGCUAAUUUAAAUUGCUUGUGUUGCAAUUACAUGAACAGCACGACGAUCGGUAGCAAGUUUAUCAGCCCUUUUGUGCGAUAAUUGGGUCGGCGCAUCACUGCUGUGAUGUACUUUCGCCCAUCUAAUUCGGUACACUUUUUUAAAUUCAUUUCAUCAACAACACGUAAGAGUAACAUCCAAUUUGCUUCCAUUCAUCCAUCAACACAUCUAUCCAGUGGCUUGGACGAUUCGAGAAGCAAGACACGGAUAGAAACUUCCAACGGUGGAACUAAAUUUCAAUGCGAUUUCCAUCCGUCGACACGCACGAAUGUUUCUUGAUCUCCGAAGAAGAAGAACCAUGGUCUUCUAGUUCGUACUAGAGAGAUUGAAUUCUGCUUUGAAGUCCAUGGUUUACCGGAGCUUUAGGCACCUCCGCCUGCAAAAUCGUGUGGUAACUAUCAGAAACCACUGUGAAAUGCAUAAAAAGAAUGGCUGGCAUCGGGUGGCACCACGCCAUGGGAAGUUAGUAUGUUAAAAGCACCACCAGUUGAUGCAGCUCUAGGAAAAUCGAGUUAAUUAAAAAGCUUGUGUCAGUCAUGAUCUUUGGGUAGCCACCCAUCCAUAUCUUAUCGGAUCUAUGCAAUUCUUAUUGUUUUAGCAUGUCGGUCCCGACGAAUGGGUGGGGGGAAUGGAGUUUAGAAUGGCAUACAUGGAGAUCAAGCAUGGUUGGAUCGAGGCAGAGAGAGGGAAGUUCUCGGCGUCAUAUGAAACAGGAGCCAGACAAGGAUGAGGAGUUUGUACAGAGUAGAGUUGGGACGAUGUCCUCGGUGUCAUGCAAAGCGAGAACCCAUGUUGGUUUUUCCGGUUGGCAUUUUGCCCAGCUGAUAGCAACCGUUCCGACUUGGUCUCGUGAUGAUGCUUGAACCGGGUAAGGUGGUCUCGGAACGAGGGAGAAGACAAGGCAGGCAGUGAUCCGUCAUCAUGGAUGAGGCACAACAGCGACUGUGAUCUUGGUUUCCAUACACGAAGAUAAUUAGGUCGAGAAAGAAGGAUCAGUGGACUCUUUUCCGGUCUUCAAACAAGCCCGUGCACUCUUUAGCAGUGGAAAGUGGAUGUACGGCUACCUCUGUUCCUCAUCGGCGCCACCGUCCCGGCUGCCGGAAGACUUGUAAUUUGGAUACGGCACCCGACCCGACUCGAUGUGCUCGAGGUCCUCAAGCAGCAGCUCGUAGUGUUUCUUGACCUCUUCGGCGGUCUUCCCUCCGCCGACGGCUCGUGCCACAUUCUGCCAGCGAUCCGGGGUGUCUUUGUCGUACACCGCGAGAGCCCGCUCGAAGAGCUUGUUCUGCUGCGGAGUCCACGAGGAGGUCGAGCCACGUGAGAGCGAUCCCGACGCCAUGUUGCCGAGAGGAUGACUCGAGAAUGGAACGAGGGGACUCCAGAAUCGAAUGGGAGAUUGGAAAACGGGUGUGUGUGCGAGUGUGUGUAUAUAUAUAGUGUCAGCACUGUUUGCCGGAGGGCUGUUGUCGGCAUGAGGAAACUGUUGCCAGGGUUAUCUUUAUAAGCAGCAGCUUGCUUGAGAACCACGAGAUGGAGCUUAAGAGCGAGGGACAAGGAACAAGGAGGGGAGAGCUUUGCUGCGUGUGAGGUAGGGACAUCAUCAUCGACAACACAAGGCUCAAGGAGGAGAGAGGAAAGGUCCCUCUCUCAUCUUUUUUUUUUUUUUUUUGGUCUACCUAUCUAAAUGUAGACUUUCCAGCAAUUUAAGCUCUAUAAAUUCCUUUGUGAUCACUUAAUUAUUCAUAUUUCAUGAUCUGUUGUAGCAUGCCCUGGAGCUCUUGAGAGUCUGCUUCCCCAAGACGUUAUGAUCGAUGACUAUUAUUUUUGUUUGUCCUGUCCCGUAGAUGGGUGGUUUUCAUAAUUCAUAAUUAAAUUAAUGUAUAUGGCAACUCAAAAGAGAUCAGUUGCAUUCAAGAAAUAAUGAUUCUUAUUAUACCUUCCCGAGGAGGAGGAGGGUACGUCAGGGGCAUGAUUCCCUUUGCCAUGUCUUUAUAUGAUUCUACUAAUCUUGAUUACGUCGAUGGAUCCUGCACAACUUGCGUAAAAAAGCAGUAGCGUUGUCGCGACCUCAUCCCGUUUCCUUUUUGCAGUCGUAAAAGAUGUGGUUCGGGAUCGAGAUGAUCGCGUAGCCUACCCCGUUUCUUCUAUCUUCUCCUCUGUUUUAUUAUUAUUAUUAUUUUUCGCUUUAUGGAACGAUUUGAUAGUCUUCCCUUUACCGUGGGAAGUCCUUCCGCAUGAAUGGACGUAAGUGGACUCAACUCUCACUGACGAAAGCUGUCCUACGUCCUAUUCUUCUUCCAAAGGAAGGAUAUCGACGUCCGAAGCGCUGCCUGCCCACCUCGGCUCAAUUUUUGUGGUCACACCAACUUCACGAUCCCAAAUCCAGCUUUGGCUGCUCUCUUCUACUUUUAGAUCAAUGUUUUUGAAGGGGUUAGUGGUCUGAUAACUCCCCUGAAAAACAAACUUACGAUUUGUGGGGAGAGGGAAACAUUUGCUGCGUGUUACACAGAUCAACUGGGAAGUAAAGAAGGCUGUGCUACUGUAGAUAGUAGCACUAUCUACAGUGCUACAAUCAGUAUCAUAGAAUGCAGUGCAUCGACAUGCGAUUGUUGGUCGAUUCAAGAGAUAAAAAACACUUGAUCGAACAGUCGUAGACAAGUAUAAUACCAUGAAUGCACGAACAAAAAAUGUGUCGGAAAAUGGUCGCACACGCACUUCGACUGUCAUUUCAAGAACUUAGUGAAUGAAUACUACCAUGAAUCACAGGAGCGAUCAUUUACGCGAGGCUCUUCAAACGAUAUGGAUUAUUAGGGUUGCUUGGUCAGCGGAGAGAGGAAAGAUUUGGCCACGCUACGUAUGUUCUCGGAGCAGCGGCGAGAAUGAAUUGCUUCCUAUGUAAUGACUGACAAAAGCAUGUGUGAGAUGACUGACAACGAUGAAGACGAGAAUGAAUCACUUCCGCCUCUGAGAUCUCAAAGUCCACAAACCCCAGCCGCCAAAGAUACACCAACCAUCGAGUAACCAAGUACUCGGAUACAACAGAGAAAUAUCGAUUCAUUCACAUGCUGGCUUAGUGUCAAAGGUGGUCAAGCAGAUUGCGAAUGCCUGAAACGCAGAGAGUGGAUAUCGAUAAUCCAUAGUGAAGAUGUCCUUUCCUAUCUUACCGAAUUGGAGGAUAACCUUCUCUUGCUCUGCCAGAGACACCCCAAAGGAAGGAUCUACGGCCGCCACAAGCUGAAAGUUCUUGACGGAAGCCACUGUGACUCGUCCCUUGAAGUCCAAGCACCAGCAUUGGAGCUGCUCGUGCCACCUCGGGGAUUUGUUCUUGAGAAUCAGCGGGACCGAACCGGUGGGACCGUCGGAAGGAAAACCCCUUGCUGAUUCCUCGUCUUUUGCGGCUGGUAAACUCGAGAGGGGUUGUUGCCGUUCGUCGACGGAUUGGAGAAAGCUGGUGGGUGCCGCGACACCCCCCCGGCCUUCCCGGAGGGAGGAGGCUGGAAUCGAGUGCAUGGUGCAUUGUAUUCUUCUGGGCCCUCGGGUUCGAAGGACGUUAAAUUCGUAGGAGACGGUAGCAACGUCGUAAUUUCCAGCCGGAAGUCUCGGGGACACUUGCUUGGAAGGGGCCCUUGGAUUUGACGGAAUGCUCGAAGAAGAAACAGGGGCAUCAUGAGGACACUGGCUAUCGUAAACCAUGAACUUGGUCCCCAAGAAAUUUGACCUGGUUAAGAUCCAAAAGACGAUGGAUCAGAGAAUCAACAAAGCAAAAGGAACACAGAUAAGAGAGAGAGUCAACAAGCGGCUGAGAUCACUUGCCUCACUCUUCCGAUGUAGGCGUUACUAGCUCGAGAGAAAUUAUCGGAGGCCAGCGAGAUGACAAAAUCGGUGCUAGUUGCACGUCUGGUCUUGCGGGCUGCAAGCAAAAGCUUGUCCUUCUGGCUCUGCAGCGCUAUCAUCAUCACGGAACGUAACCAGCGAGCGUCAGUAAUGGAACAGAUUGGCAGCACCGAAUCCCAAGCGACAAAAUAAAAAUCUAAUUCGUCUCAUCGGCAGCUACCGAUAGAAGGAACUAACAAAGAAAUUGCUCCAGUCGUCAGUCAGUGACUGUAAAACCAGGGUUUGUAUCGAAUCACAGCAUCGUUGCUGAUGUCUAUGGCUACGGAGAACAAAUGAUGCAACACCAAUUAUGCACUGGUGUUUGAAAACUAGGAAUAGAUUGGAUCGGUGCAAGGAAGGUCUCUCAGGACAUCAGCUUGGUUCAGACAAUCAUUAAAGCAAGCAAAGGAGCGAUGCGAGGAAAUUGCUUACAUGGGGUCAGACCCAGGUACACACGGAAGGUGGAUGUCGUUCUCUCCCUCCUCAUGAAGCACUGAAUCGGAUGAUCUCGUGGUCCGGGCUGAUUUUGAACACACAACCCACAGAUCGAUUAAGAAGAUGAUCAGUAAGGAAUAAAAAAUUUGCAGAGGAACUGUUGCAAAACCAAUUCGAGCUCCGAAUCUAAAAGCGUCGAGGCAAUCAGACAAGGCCAACCUGCUUGAGAGAAAGAGGAAAGGUGAUCCGGCCACAUUGCUCCGGUGACUUGACCACCUCUUUUGUGAUGCCACGCCACCAGCGGCACACGGCCGCGCACGCCAGCACAUGCCUCCUCGCCGGCCACGAUACCUCGCUUGCCUCCACCCUGCGGAUGACAUCAAACAGCAGUUCCGGCGGCAGGUUCACCCAUCUACCCUCCGGGGCACCUUCGCGACCGUGCCCCAUCGUUAUCGCUCCGCCGCCGCCUUCGCCUUCUCCUUCGCCUCCUCCCCCGAUCCCAUCCGGCAUCUCCUUGAGCUCACGGACGAGACUCUUUAACGGCAUUUCCACCACCCUCCCCUUCUUUCCAGAUCCGGGAGUCGCGGGAUUCGUAUAAACAAGAGAAAUUGAGCGGGCGAACCUCGGAUCGAUCAGAUCGAUGAGGAAAAGGGGAAUUCUUGGCUUUUGAGUCUCACUUCUUCUGGCUAUGCAUCAGGGCGGACGACGGAUAUCCCCUUCGAGGCCUUUCCCCCUUGUAAUUCGUGCCUCUUCCUUCCCUCGAAAGAAAUUUGAUAUCUUCCGAAGCAAAAUCCUUUAGUAUUUUUUUUUUGUCAUCCGAUCAAGAAGCUAAGUUGGCUCAUCGAAGGGGCAAAAGAACCUCUUUUUGCGUUGCGCUCACAUCCCACGGAAACACAAAAAACAAAGGUGGCGCUCAGCUCCCACCUUUACCGUCUGUCACAUGCACGGCAUGUAUCCGAUCCACGAUUGCAGCCGGUGUCGGUCGAUGGACGUUGCCUCUUUCGAGCGCCCGAAGAGAGCAACCAACCAACCAACCAUUUUCGAGUUGAGAUGCAAAGCUAGUGAUUUUGGCAUUUAUCACUUCCCUUGAAUUCAAGAUUUGGUUGGUUAUCAUCUAAAUUAGAAACUUGCAAACACGCCCUGUAGUUAGUUAAUCUUCGUUUAUAAUGACACCGUUUAGAAAUAUAAAUGUUAUGUUAUUUUGCUAAAAUAAAAUCGAGGUAACUAAUUAGUAUGUAUAUACAUACAACAAUCAAUCCAUGGAAAUGGAAACUUAGCGCGAAUCUACAGAUAUCGGGCGUAAAGAUGAUGAUGAUGGAACAUCCACCCGUUUUUCUCUUUUUUAAUUUGUGCAUAAAAAAAUAAUAAUCCCUUCGAAUACCAAACAAAAUUGUAUUCCAGCUGCUCCUAUCAUGGAAGGAAUAGGGAUAGAUAGCUAGCUGAUCAAGCUAUUCGAUGGAUGUCAAGUCCCAACCAUCAUGAUUCAUUCAUGUGGGGAUAACACAUGACGCAUACAGGAGAGGCCCAUCCCAUGCCCUUUAUCCUAUUAAGAUCAACCGGGGAAGAAGCCAGCCACAUCCACCGGUUCAAAACAAAAAAGCCUGGCAUCUCGCACCUCCUUUGUGGAGCCCACAACCAUGUUCAUGUUAACUAGUAGUUGGCCAAUCCUUGGAGUUGGUCCCUGGUCUUUGUUGUGUCCUAAGAACAACAUGAAGUUUCUCAGAUUGAGACAUUCAGCAAGCAAGGAUCUGUGUGCGUCUUGCUAACCAAGUUUAGUUACAUGACAAUCAAUUCCACCUUGAAAACCAAAAAGCAAUGUAGGUUAACAAAUACAUCUUUAUUUGAGUGUUGGCUGAAGAGAUUUGUACAAAAAAAGGAAGAAAGCCAAAGCCAGAACAGCAAGGAGGCAACUAAUGAACAAGGAGGUAACAACAGUACCAACCUAUUAAAGUGGAAGAGAAAAAAAAAAAAGAAAAAAGUAUUCACACACAAAUAACUGUUCCUAGCAAAUACAGUAGUAAUUCCGAGCGAUCGAUAAUGGCAAUAUCUGAAUGCCCUCCUUAACCCACACCAGUGAUCAAUCCUUUGAUAUGUUGCUGCUACUUCCAGGACUCUUUUUAGCUCCAUAUCUCUGAUUCACAACCGAUGACACCAAAUUUAAUUGAAAUUUUGACAGAAAUAAGAUGUUCACAAAAGAACAUGAACAUAGACAGAAACAUGCAUCUCAAAUAACACAACUUCACAACAUUUAAAGCCAUAGCAGAUUGCAUAAAAGGGAUGCAUCCAAAUGGCCCUCCGACAAAACACAAAAGUGUUUUUCACCCUACAUCGGUAGCCAAAUGUUUAUUAGUACUUCCAUGACAUGGCACCAGAUGUUUUAGAGCUGGGUGGCCUUUGUGUGUUUUGACACCCAAUCAUUCAAAUUUCAUAAUGAAGUACCAUCCAAACUACCAAAAGGAUAGCCAAG